CCCUUAGAUGUUCUGGGCCGCACGCGCGCUACACUGAUGCAUUCAACGAGUCUAAAACCUGGUCUGAUAGGGCUGGGUAAUCUUUUGAAUGUGCAUCGUGAUUGGGAUAGAUGAUUGCAAUUCUUCAUCUUCAACGAGGAAUGCCUAGUAAACGCAAGCCAUCAGCUUGCAUUGAUUACGUCCCUGCCCUUUGUACACACCGCCCGUCGCUCCUACCGAUUGAAUGUUCCGAUGAAUACCAUGGACUGAGAGUAUGAAUGGGUUCGCCUAUUUCUGCUUCUCGGGAAGUGGAGUAAAUCUUAACAUUUAGAGGAAGGAGAAGUCGUAACA
RNAcentral lists this ribosomal RNA (330 nucleotides) under uncultured eukaryote. Its description in RNAcentral is "partial 18S ribosomal RNA". It matches the Rfam family "Eukaryotic small subunit ribosomal RNA", at positions 1470 to 1796 of the family's 1831-position model. The record is from RNAcentral.